Molecule: long non-coding RNA, 248 nt
Filed under: Coffea arabica (coffee)
Lineage: Eukaryota; Viridiplantae; Streptophyta; Magnoliopsida; Gentianales; Rubiaceae
Description: long non-coding RNA (CARA_LNC001210)
Source: RNAcentral
AUAGUGUCUCUUCAACUUCCUUUAAAUUCACCGUUAAGAUCCCUCAGCAAUCAUCGAAGAAGGGUAAGAUUACCUCCGCUAACGAGUCAGUGCAUCAUAAUGGAGCUAUAGAGAUUGUAACGGGUCUUGCCUCAUCCACCCUGCGAAAGAACAAAACUACUAGCAGUCCCUCGAAAAAUAUUGCUACAAAAAAUAAGUCUUCCAAGGACUCUCGGCAGGCCAUCAAAGAGGCGCAACCAGCGGUUCCA